This 322-nucleotide ribosomal RNA is filed under the name uncultured eukaryote. RNAcentral's name for it is "partial 18S ribosomal RNA". It matches the Rfam family "Eukaryotic small subunit ribosomal RNA", at positions 1470 to 1796 of the family's 1831-position model. The record is from RNAcentral.
CCCUUAGAUGUUCGGGGCCGCACGCGUGCUACACUGAGUAAUUCAAUGGGUAAGGGAACGCUAGAGCAUUACCUAAUCUUGAAAUUUGCUCGUGAUGGGGAUCGACGGUUGCAAUUUUCCGUCGUGAACGAGGAAUACCUUGUAGGCGCAUGUCAUCAUCAUGCGCCGAAUACGUCCCUGCCCUUUGUACACACCGCCCGUCGCUCCUACCGAUUGAGUGAUCCGGUGAGGCUCUGGGACCUGGACGGAAAGAGCGUUUCGCUUGUUCUGUUUGGGAAACUUGGUCGAACCUUAUCAUUUAGAGGAAGGAGAAGUCGUAACA